AUGGAGGCUGGCGGCGCUAGCACGACUACUACGAGGAAGAGGAAAGCCGCCGCGCUCGAGGGCCAUCCGGCGACGGCGCCGGCAGGGGCGGCGGCCAAUCCCGGAAUGGGCGAAGACGACGGAGGCGGAUCGGGCGAAGAUGGGCAAGAUCUCGACCGCCUCAGCAGCCUCCCCGAUGCGAUCCUCGGUGAGAUAAUUUCCCUCCUCCCCACCAAGCAAGGGGCUCGCACCCGGAUCCUUGCGUCCCGGUGGGGCCACCUCUGGUGCUCUGCACCCCUGAACCUCGACUGCCGUCACCUCGCAUGGCACGAACUCCCUGCUCUCAUGCAUCGCAUCAUUAACGCCCACCAAGGCCACGGCCGCCGCUUCUGCACUCCGGAGCUGUUGUACACCAUAAGCGACAUAGAUGCCGUGGAGGCCUGCCUCCUGUCCCCCGCUCUGGCUAGGCUCGAGGAGCUUAAGCUCAACAGCUGGAGAGGGCUGCCGCUGCCGGAAUUAGUCUUCCGCUUCUCGGACACCCUCCGUGUUUUCCGCAUUGAAAAGUGCAGCCUCCCGGACGCCACCAUCCAAAGAUUUCAUUUUCCCCGGCGUCGUGGACCUCGUUGCCUCCGGAUCAAUUCACUUGUCCUCAGAAGCGUUACAGUCAGAAAUUAUUCACUGGGUGGAGCACCCAUGUUAGAGGAAAUCGUCAUCGAGAGUGCCCCUUGCCUCGAAAGACUAUUCGAUCUUAAUCAGAUGCAGGAUUUGCGUGUGUCAGUGCUCUUCGCGCCUAAGUUGGAGACUUUAGGUUGUACCAACUCCACCAGGCUCGUCUUUGGUUCUACAGAUAUUCAGGGAUCGCGCACAAUCAAGUGUUUGGCUCUCAGUAUGCCCACUCUUAGUUUGGCCAUGGUUAUUGGAUUGAUAAGAAGGAUUCCGUGCUUGGAGAAGUUGUACAUUCAGCGCAACACGUCAAGGAAGAACAAUAAUGCGUGGCGUCAUAAAUACCGCGAUCUUCUCAAUAGUCUUGACAUCCGUCUGAAAAUUAUGGUGUUGAAUUGCUAUUCCGGCAGAAGACCUGACGUCGAUUUUGUCACAUUCUUUGCCCUCAAUGCUAAACAGCUAGAGUCGAUGACACUUGUGGUCCACACCGACGAUGAGGACUUCUUGGCAAAACAGCAUCACAAGCUUCAGCUGGAGAAGAGGGCUUCAAGUGGUGCUCGGUUUCAUUUCACCACGGAGCGACGCUACGAAUUUGGAUACGAAUUAUCCUUUUGA
This 1257-nucleotide ribosomal RNA is filed under the name Triticum aestivum (bread wheat). RNAcentral's name for it is "partial small subunit ribosomal RNA". Lineage: Eukaryota; Viridiplantae; Streptophyta; Magnoliopsida; Poales; Poaceae. The record is from RNAcentral.